CCCUAGUACGGCGAGUGAAGCGGGAAGAGCUCAAAUUUGAAAUCUGGCAGUCUUCGAUUGUCCGAGUUGUAAUCUAUAGAGGCGUUUUCCGUGCCGGACCGUGUCCAAGUCUCCUGGAAAGGAGUAUCAAAGAGGGUGAUAAUCCCGUACUUAACACGACCACCGGUGCUCUGUGAUACGUCUUCUACGAGUCGAGUUGUUUGGGAAUGCAGCUCAAAAUGGGUGGUGAAUUCCAUCUAAAGCUAAAUAUUGGCGAGAGACCGAUAGCGAACAAGUACCGUGAGGGAAAGAUGAAAAGCACUUUGGAAAGAGAGUUAAACAGUACGUGAAAUUGUUGAAAGGGAAACGAUUGAAGUCAGUCGUGUUCUUUGGAUUCAGCCAGUUCUGCUGGUCUACUUCCUUGGAACGGGUCAACAUCAGUUUUGUCCGGUGGAUAAAGGUAGUAGGAAUGUGACUUCUCCGGAAGUGUUAUAGCCUAUUAUCACAUACACUGGGUGAGACUGAGGACUGCAGCUCGCCUUUAUGGCCGGUCUUCGGACACGUUCGAGCUUAGGAUGUUGACAUAAUGGCUUUAAACGACCCGUCUU
Molecule: ribosomal RNA, 587 nt
Filed under: Trichosporon japonicum
Lineage: Eukaryota; Fungi; Basidiomycota; Tremellomycetes; Trichosporonales; Trichosporonaceae
Description: LSU rRNA
Rfam family: Eukaryotic large subunit ribosomal RNA
Source: RNAcentral